AAAUGAAGAACGUAUGAGGUCAAAAUGCCAUCUCUGAAGGACUCUCAGAAAUUCAAAUGCAAAGUGAUGACAAAAAAUCAAUGUCAUGAUUUUUGAGCAAUAUCAUGAUAAGUUGAAGAUGGAUAAAUUCAUCCAUUUCAGGCCAAUCAGGAGGAAGAAACAAGGGUAAAAACACAAGAUAUUCCUAAUGUUAUGUUAAAGAGAAGAUUUCCACACUGGAUGUCAAAGGAUAAUAUUUUGGACAUAUAUCAACUAAAAAAUCAAAUGUAGUCUGAAGCAUUUUGAGAAUGAGUCUGCCAGUACUGCUGAUGUUAUGGUAAGUCCAUAAAUAUUUUAUAUACCUGAAAACAUCACGUCUUCUGCUUCUUUUGCAUUAGGUAUACAAA
RNAcentral lists this long non-coding RNA (386 nucleotides) under Phasianus colchicus (ring-necked pheasant). Its description in RNAcentral is "lncRNA (ENSPCLG00000008043.1)". Lineage: Eukaryota; Metazoa; Chordata; Aves; Galliformes; Phasianidae. The record is from RNAcentral.